RNAcentral lists this ribosomal RNA (149 nucleotides) under uncultured bacterium. Its description in RNAcentral is "partial 16S ribosomal RNA". It matches the Rfam family "Bacterial small subunit ribosomal RNA", at positions 382 to 524 of the family's 1533-position model. The record is from RNAcentral.
UCUGACGGAGCAUGCCGCGUGAGGGAAGAAGGUUUUCGGAUUGUAAACCUCUGUUGUAAGGGAAGAACGACUAUAGUAGGGAAUGGCUAUAGAGUGACGGUACCUUACCAGAAAGGGACGGCUAACUACGUGCCAGCAGCCGCGGUAAU